Artibeus jamaicensis (Jamaican fruit-eating bat) is the source of this 4052-nucleotide long non-coding RNA. RefSeq lists it as uncharacterized. Lineage: Eukaryota; Metazoa; Chordata; Mammalia; Chiroptera; Phyllostomidae. The transcript is spliced from 4 exons. The record is from RefSeq and is a predicted model, not a curated record.
CACCAACUGCACCUGUGCGCUGUGCCUUAGUUUAAAGCUUGCCUUGGAAAGUUUCCCUGGCGUGAUUGCUUAUUGAUAGAGCAGCUCUGGUUCCUAGUACGUUUCAUACAUCCUGUCUGAGCGAGUUUUAUUACUGAAUGUUACCUCCGUGCUGAUAACAAGGAGACGUUGUGUCCUCCACGGUGAACUCACGCCCUGUUCCAGAAAUAUAGCGUGACUCCCCUCCCUGCUCGGGUUGUAAAGGUGGAAACCCCGGGCCGCCCUCCAGCACCUGCACCUCCAACCCCUCGGCAGUGCCUUGCAGCCCAGGCUGGGAGCGCCUCCUAGGACACGAAGUGCGUGCGACUGCUGGGCGGCAGGUCACGCAACCCAGGGCGACCCCGCCCCCGCCGCUGGCUCUCGGGGCCAGCGUGCUCGCUCAGGCUUCCUGGCGGCCUGGAACCAGCCUCGCGUGCUGACCCGGCCGCCUAAUCGGCUUGGAAUCCCUGAUCCCACCGCCCCCCACCCCCCCAGGCGCUGCGUCCUGCACCAACUAUAGCCGCAGCUGACUACCGUCAACUCGGAAAGUUUCCACCUCUGCUGCUGUAAAGCAGACAGCUCCGGCAUCGCGACGAAGGAGGAAAGGGGCGCGGCAAAAAGGAAGCGGUGACAGAGCAGCAACCUGCCUUUUCGAUCAUAGCAAACUUGGAACAACUAUCAACUCACGACAGGUUGCCUCAGUAUUGAAUCGCAACUAGAGAACAUGGCCCUCCCAGUUUCUCUCUUGCUAAAGGCCUUCCUAGAUUAUUGAUGCUUUGCGUGAGCAAUCAGGAAAAAAGGAAGCAAUCCAGAUGGGAGGCUGGCUGGCUGUGGUGAGAUGCCUCUGAAAUGAAAAAAGUAUUUGCAGAUGUUUCAACAAGUGGAAGGGUCGGGCUGAGUCUAGGCCACAGGAAACAACUUCCACACCUUGGGGCUACUACAAUAAAGGUGCUAUACAAGGUGCCUGUCUUGGUUCUGAGAAUUCAGCAGUCGCUGAUGUGAUCUCUUGCCCCGAAUCACACAGUGAAUGGCGGAGCUGAGACCAGAAAUGAGUCUAUGGAUUUCCAAUGAAAAGACCUUCCAUUAAUCAACUACCACGUCUAAACCAGGCCCUAAGUGUUUCACCUAUGUUAAGUCAUGUAGUCUUCAUGACCUUGGAUUUCUUUAUAUGUGUGGCAUGCCUUUCCACACCUGACAUUUCCCUUCUUGUGAAGGGAAUUCCAUUAAUGUAAUGAUUUGGCUCCUCCGGCAGUCUUAUUCACUUUGCCCAAGAGGGGAUAAAGAGACAUCUGAGUUUGAAAGAGAAACAGUACCUGAGUGGCCCAACCCCUUCCCUUCUCUUUCUUCAAGACUGAGCUGCCUGACAAGAAUGUGUGUGCCUUGCUCUUCCAGGCCCAGAGAUGAGCAGAGUAGAAGGAGACUCUUAAGGCCCUGUGAGAGGGAGACAAGUCUUCAUACUGGAGUUUUAAAUUAGGAAGCCCACUUUCCCACAGCAGUAAACUUUCAGUGUGUGUGUAUGCAGAAGAGAAGCAUUUCAUAAAAAAUAAAAGAGUGAAUUAGCACGUCUGUACUAUCAUUUGUACCAUACAAAAACAGCCACAGGAUGCUGUGCCUCACAGUCUGACCCCACCUGCCGCAGCAUCCAGGAAAUAGCGUCUUGAAAUAACCAUGAACAUCACCUUCUGAGAUCAUUCGCCCAAGCAGCAGAGCAGCUUGCACAGCAGCCUGGACCUGUUGCAGAUGGCACGUGACAUUAACCAUCACCUUCUGAACGGGUUUGGCCCAAUUUCCCCAAAUUCUGAAAUUGUAAAGGUUUGCUGUUGGGCUUUUUGGAAGACGAAGUGGUAAAAUGAAAAGAAUAUGGGAUUUAUAGAUUUAGAAGACCUGGGCUGAUACCCACCCUUAGUGAACCUCUAUCUCUGACCUCCGUUUUUCCUCUAAAUAACAGAACAGAUCACCUUACCGAGCUCACCCUGUGCUUUGAGUCCAAAGAAGAAAUGGAUGUGCAAGUGCUUUGUAAACUGUAAAGAACCAUUAACAGGGUGGGCUGGGAUGGGGUAAAAAGCAGAAAACUGUCCUCAAACAACAAUUAAAAUUUAAAAUUUUUUAAAAAUUAAAAAAAACUAUUGACAAUAUUAGUUGUUUUACAGGUGUAAAGGGCAAUUCUUUAAAUAAUAGUUCUCAUUUUUAUUCUGGUUUUUCAGUUUGACUUGACACAAAGGUGAUUGAAUGGUUGACAGUGGCCUAGAUGGUUAUUUAGAGGCUAAAAAUCAUGCCCCCAGCUAGCAUUGCUUAUUUAAUACAAUUAAAAAGCAAACUCCUCUCUUUCAUUGUUGUCUGCAUUUUCACCGUUAGCCUUUUCCACGGGGCACUGCCUCACUCAAUGACCUCCCUUGAACUUGGAGCAGGUUUGUAAAAUUACUUUCCAUUAGGAAGCAGCAGCAGUGCACGUGAGAACUGGAGUAGAGGUGGAGAAGGGAUAAAAGAAAGGCUGAAGGCAGGUAAAAGGCACAGAAUGGUCCGGCUCUUAAGUUUCAACCAAAAGUACUUGAUAAGAAAACUGAGGAGGGAGCAGAUGGAAGCCAGGAGCAAGGGAACAUUGUUUCAAUGUGGCAUAUCUUCCUCAAAUUGUUUUAAGGCUUGCUCCCUCUGAUCAAUUUGCCAUAUCUUAACCUCAAAGUCCGAAGAAAUGGAUUCCAACCCUGCUUCCGUGACUAUCCAGCUGUGUGACCUUGGAUAAGUAACUUUGCCUUCCAGGGUCUCAUUUUUCUUAUCUAUAAAAUGAAAGGUUUAGAUAUAGAUUCUCUAAAGCCAUUUCCAUGACAAAUAUUCUAUAAUCCUAGCAAGACCCUAUAAUUUCCCUCCUCUUUUAACAUUUUAGUCUUAUCUUCCCCCAGGGGAAAAAUUAUUUUAGAAAUGAGCUAAGAUAUUGGGGGGAGGGGAGAGGGUGUAUGUAGGCACCAUUGGUAGUAUUAUAUCAGAACAGCGUAGGCCAAACAGGAGCAUUUCAUAAAAGUUAAAAACAGAGUAAUCAAGCAGUUGUACACUGUCAUAUUGGAACCAUUUCUCUUAUAAACAAAGAAACUCCCCAAGAAGUUGUUCCAGUUAUAGUUGUAUUCACACAUGUACACAGUUCCAUUAAAAAACUGUCAAGCUUUACAAAUCAUACUUGAAAUACGGAAGAACACAUACCAGCUUUUAAAGUAGGCCUCCAGCCUACUUUAGCAGACAGGCUUCUCGACCAUUGCUGUAAGUCAUUAAGAGAACGAGUGAAUAAAAUAUGUGCAAUAGUUGUUAAAUCCUCCAAACAAUACAUUUUUCUCCUGAGUGUGGAGGAUGGACUCUCCAUGUUUUUCUGCAUGGUGAUAAUUCUGUUCACUGCAGAAGUAGGUUUAAGCAAAAGGAAUAACAGAAACAGGUCAGCUACAUGACCUUGAACCUUAAAAACAAAACAAUUUGGUGGGGGAGAAUUCACUGGUUCAGUAUUUGUCAUUAUGAGAAUCUGGUGGAAUCAAAGGCAUUCCUGUGUCUUGCAUGUAUUUUAAUAAGCUGUUACUAACUUUGGCACGUAUUAAAUAAAAUUCCACUCUCGGAACCGGUAGAGUAAUGCUGUUGUCAUCUUUCAUGUUUAUAUAGAUGAUUGGUCCCAAUCACUCCUUUUUAUUAAACAUGACUAGGGAUUCCAGAACUAAAGGCUGCAUGCAUGGCUAAGUGGCUAGAGAUGGGAGACCAGAGAAAUCUAAUGACGUUGGCAAUGGAAGAGUACACAGGAAAGACACUGGUCUUUGAACUGAGACUUGAGCUCAGAUCCAGGUGCCUCUAAGUCUAGGCACUUAGCCUCUCUGGAUUUGAUUUUCUGAUCUAUAAAAUGGGAUUAAUAUGUACCUUGCAGUUAUGAGAAAUCAUACUACUACCUGCGAAGCACCUAACAGGUACACACACAGUGGAUGUCAUUAUUCUUUUGUCUCAGUGGAGUAAACAACUCCCUCCUCCCUAUUUUAAAUUUGAAAUCAUGCUCCUUCCAGGUCUUAACU